CCUACGGGGGGCUGCAGUGGGGAAUAUUGGACAAUGGGCGAAAGCCUGAUCCAGCCAUGCCGCGUGUGUGAAGAAGGCCUUCGGGUUGUAAAGCACUUUCAGUGGGGAAGAAAGCCUUGGGGCUAAUACCCUCGAGGAAGGACAUCACCCACAGAAGAAGCACCGGCUAACUCCGUGCCAGCAGCCGCGGUAAUACGGAGGGUGCGGGCGUUAAUCGGAAUUACUGGGCGUAAAGCGCGCGUAGGCGGUCUGAUAAGCCGGUUGUGAAAGCCCCGGGCUCAACCUGGGAACGGCAUCCGGAACUGUCAGGCUAGAGUGCAGGAGAGGAAGGUAGAAUUCCCGGUGUAGCGGUGAAAUGCGUAGAGAUCGGGAGGAAUACCAGUGGCGAAGGCGGCCUUCUGGACUGACACUGACGCUGAGGUGCGAAAGCGUGGGUAGCAAACAGGAUUAGAUACCCUUGUAGUC
This 465-nucleotide ribosomal RNA is filed under the name Vreelandella stevensii. RNAcentral describes it as "partial 16S ribosomal RNA". It matches the Rfam family "Bacterial small subunit ribosomal RNA", at positions 338 to 795 of the family's 1533-position model. The record is from RNAcentral. Lineage: Bacteria; Pseudomonadati; Pseudomonadota; Gammaproteobacteria; Oceanospirillales; Halomonadaceae.